GUUGUGGCUCAGUGGGCAGAGCGCUUGCCUAGCAUGCAUGAGGCACUGAGUUCGAUCCCUGGCACCACA
This 69-nucleotide transfer RNA is filed under the name Marmota monax (woodchuck). RNAcentral describes it as "tRNA.Ala". The stretch from base 3 to 64 matches the Rfam family "tRNA", at positions 6 to 65 of the family's 71-position model. Rfam says of the family: Transfer RNA (tRNA) molecules are approximately 80 nucleotides in length. Lineage: Eukaryota; Metazoa; Chordata; Mammalia; Rodentia; Sciuridae. The record is from RNAcentral.